Molecule: ribosomal RNA, 497 nt
Filed under: uncultured bacterium
Lineage: Bacteria
Description: partial 16S ribosomal RNA
Rfam family: Bacterial small subunit ribosomal RNA
Source: RNAcentral
GAUGAACGCUGGCGGCGUGCCUAAUACAUGCAAGUCGAGCGACCAGACGAGGAGCUUGCUCCUCUGCCGUUAGCGGCGGACGGGUGAGUAACACGUGGAUAACCUACCUCUAAGACUGGGAUAACUUCGGGGAACCGGAGCUAAUACCGCAUAAUAUAUUGAACCGCAUGGUUCAAUAGUGAAAGACGGUUUUGCUGUCUCUUAUAGAUGGAUCCGCGCUGCAUUAGCUAGUUGGUAAGGUAACGGCUUACCAAGGCGACGAUGCGUAGCCGACCUGAGAGGGUGAUCGGCCACACUGGAACUGAGACACGGUCCAGACUCCUACGGGAGGCAGCAGUAGGGAAUCUUCCGCAAUGGGCGAAAGCCUGACGGAGCAACGCCGCGUGAGUGAUGAAGGUCUUCGGAUCGUAAAACUCUGUUAUUAGGGAAGAACAAAUGUGUAAGUAACUAUGCACGUCUUGACGGUACCUAAUCAGAAAGCCACGGCUAACUACGUG